Molecule: ribosomal RNA, 434 nt
Filed under: uncultured bacterium
Lineage: Bacteria
Description: partial 16S ribosomal RNA
Rfam family: Bacterial small subunit ribosomal RNA
Source: RNAcentral
AGCGAACGCUGGCGGCAGGCCUAACACAUGCAAGUCGAACGAACAUAUCGGGGUUAGUGGCGGACGGGGGAGUAACCGGUGGGAACGUGCAUUUGGGUUCGGAAUAACUCAGGGAAACUUGUGAUAAUGCCGAAUGUGCGCUUCGGCGGAAAGAUUUAUUGCCGUUAGAGGGGCCCGCGUCAGAUUAGCUAGUUGGUUGAGGUAAUGGUUCACCAAGGCGUCGAUCAGUAGCUGGUAAGAGAGGCAGAGCAGCGACACUGGGACUGGGACGCAGCAGAGACUCCUACGCGAUGCAGGAGUGCGUGACCUUGCGCAAUCGCGUAAGUCCUGACGCACCCAUGCUCCUAGAACUAUGAUAUUCUUAGAAUAGUAAAAUUCUUUUACCUAUGACGAUAAUGACGGUACCCGGAGAGAAAGCCCCGGCUAACUUCGUG